GCACGUAGUUGGCCGGCGCUUCUUCUGCAGGUACCGUCUGUUUUCGUCCCUGCUGAAAGAGGUUUACAACCCGAAGGCCGUCAUCCCUCACGCGGCGUUGCUGCAUCAGGCUUUCGCCCAUUGUGCAAUAUUCCCCACUGCUGCCUCCCGUAGGAGUCUGGGCCGUGUCUCAGUCCCAGUGUGGCCGGUCGCCCUCUCAGGCCGGCUACCCGUCGUCGCCUUGGUAGACCAUCACCCCACCAACUAGCUGAUAGGCCGCGAGCCCAUCCCUGGCCGAAAAACUUUCCACGACCAGACAUGCGUCCGGAAGUGGGUAUUCGGUAUUAGCCCCGGUUUCCCGGGGUUAUCCCAAAGCCAAGGGUAGGUUGCUCACGUGUUACUCACCCGUUCGCCGCUCGAGUACCCCCGAAGGGGCCUUUCCGCUCGACUUGCAUGUGUUAAGCACGCCGCCAGCGUUCGUC
RNAcentral lists this ribosomal RNA (461 nucleotides) under uncultured bacterium. Its description in RNAcentral is "partial 16S rRNA". The record is from RNAcentral.